Macaca mulatta (Rhesus monkey) is the source of this 487-nucleotide long non-coding RNA. RefSeq lists it as uncharacterized. The record is from RefSeq and is a predicted model, not a curated record. Lineage: Eukaryota; Metazoa; Chordata; Mammalia; Primates; Cercopithecidae.
GCCAAAGCCUGGCCAGCUGGGAUUCUGGGACCUGAGCCCAAGGGUGAGCUAGGUAGGUAAGAGUUCUUAAAACAGGAAUGGGAAUAAACCAAAGACAACUUCCUAGCAAAAUCAGCACUGAAAAAUAGUCUCCACCAAGCAUCAGACCAAAGGCUUGGACAGCGAGGUGAAAAGCAUACCGAAGAUGUUGCGGUGGCCUCCAGACCAGAGCAGGGAAGCCGGGGACCCCCAGCCAGUGACACUCCACCCAGGUCUCCCUCAGCCACGCUGGCAUGGCCCAGAUCCCCUGAGUUAUAGCUUGUACCUGCAUCCGGUGGUUCCCGAGCUCUGGUACUGCACCCAAGAAGAAUAAGGAUACUCUGGACAUUGAAGGGAACCAAGGGUGGCUAAUAUCAGAAGAAAAUCGUGCGAUGGGAAUGAAGAUCAGAAGCACAUACUGACCAGUCAACUGACUUUGCUGAUCCCUUGAAAAAUAAUGUCACGGGGG